CAUGCAGUCGAGCGGCAGCGACACAUUGAACCUUCGGGGGAUUUGUUGGGCGGCGAGCGGCGGACGGGUGAGUAAUGCCUGGGAAAUUGCCCUGAUGUGGGGGAUAACCAUUGGAAACGAUGGCUAAUACCGCAUGAUAGCUUCGGCUCAAAGAGGGGGACCUUCGGGCCUCUCGCGUCAGGAUAUGCCCAGGUGGGAUUAGCUAGUUGGUGAGGUAAGGGCUCACCAAGGCGACGAUCCCUAGCUGGUCUGAGAGGAUGAUCAGCCACACUGGAACUGAGACACGGUCCAGACUCCUACGGGAGGCAGCAGUGGGGAAUAUUGCACAAUGGGCGCAAGCCUGAUGCAGCCAUGCCGCGUGUAUGAAGAAGGCCUUCGGGUUGUAAAGUACUUUCAGCAGUGAGGAAGGGGGUAUCGUUAAUAGCGGUAUCCUUUGACGUUAGCUGCAGAAGAAGCACCGGCUAACUCCGUGCCAGCAGCCGCGGUAAUACGGAGGGUGCGAGCGUUAAUCGGAAUUACUGGGCGUAAAGCGCAUGCAGGUGGUUUGUUAAGUCAGAUGUGAAAGCCCGGGGCUCAACCUCGGAAUUGCAUUUGAAACUGGCAGGCUAGAGUACUGUAGAGGGGGGUAGAAUUUCACGUGUAGCGGUGAAAUGCGUAGAGAUCUGAAAGGAAUACCGGUGGCGAGGGCGGCCCCCU
RNAcentral lists this ribosomal RNA (696 nucleotides) under uncultured bacterium. Its description in RNAcentral is "bacterial SSU rRNA". It matches the Rfam family "Bacterial small subunit ribosomal RNA", at positions 54 to 730 of the family's 1533-position model. The record is from RNAcentral.